GACGAACGCUGGCGGCGUGCUUAACACAUGCAAGUCGAACGAAGUGGCGAACGGGUGAGUAAUACGUGAGUAACCUGCCCUCCUUUUUGGGAUAAGCCUUGGAAACGGGGUCUAAUACCGGAUAAAGGGGGAUGGGCUCGCGGCCUAUCAGCUUGUUGGUGGGGUGAUGGCCUACCAAGGCGGUGACGGGUAGCCGGCCUGAGAGGGUGACCGGCGACGGUGGGACUGGAUUACGGCCCAGGCUACUGAGGGAGGCAGCGGUGGGGGGUGUUGCACAAUGUGCGAAAGGCUGAUGCAGCUACGCCGCGUGGGGGAUGAAGGCUUUCGGGUUGUAAACGUGUUUCGCUAUCGAGCGGGUAGGUGGGGAAGAAGCUCCGUCAUAAUACGUACCAGCAGCCGCGGUAAUAC
RNAcentral lists this ribosomal RNA (408 nucleotides) under uncultured bacterium. RNAcentral describes it as "partial 16S ribosomal RNA". It matches the Rfam family "Bacterial small subunit ribosomal RNA", at positions 28 to 526 of the family's 1533-position model. The record is from RNAcentral.